Sturnus vulgaris (Common starling) is the source of this 397-nucleotide non-coding RNA. The record is from RefSeq and is a predicted model, not a curated record. Lineage: Eukaryota; Metazoa; Chordata; Aves; Passeriformes; Sturnidae.
CCUACCUCCAGGCUGCCAGCUCCCCAUCAAACACUGACCCUCACCUGAGCAGCUGACCCCACUGUUCCUACGGAGCCACUGCCUGCCUCACCUACGUUCACUGCCUGGACACCCUGCUCCACCCCUACCUGCUCCACGCUGGAGUCCUGGCUCAAGAGACGCCGUAAAGGAAAGGACACUAGAGGGUUAAACACCACGGAAAUUUCAGCUUCUGAACGCACCUUUCAAGCUGCCUGCAAAAUCGGAAUUGAAGUGUCCAAGCUGCAACAUCAAGCACUUCAGGCUGAUUCUCUAUGGAACAAUACAGAACUCACUCAGUCCAAGGACACACUGAGAAAUGAGUCCUUAUUCUUCCAUCUGUCUGAACUGUAUGUAAACUAAAACCACACUGAAUAUG